UUUCGAUUUUUUUGGCGUAUUAAUCCUUUUUUGUUCAGACUUGGUUUUUCUCUUUUUACGAGACUUGCCAAGAUCUGGAGGAGCAGAUUUAAAUCCUGCAGCUUCUUUCUUUUUUCUCUGAGGUUUCAGAACAGGGGUUGAAGAUCCAUGAUUCUUAUCCCCAGCCUGCACAUAAUCAACAACUUAUAACUUCGCCUGUACUUUAUAAAGAACAAUAAAAUGUCCCACAAAGAAAACACUGCAUUUUGAUAACCAAGUGAUAACUUAGUCAGCAUACUGUAAUCCUAAGAACAUGGAAAAUGUUUUUUCCACCAAAGGCCUGAAAACCUACUUUUGCAGAAUUUGUGCAUUCACGUGCAAAAUGUCCUUCUUCACCACAUCUAAAGCAUGAACUAGGUGAGGCUGCCAUGGUGGCUUCAUCAUGCAACCCUAAACAUUCCUGCACAGAUAAAUACCCACACAUUAAGAAGCUGGUCCUAAUCAUCAAACAUUUACCAAGUACAUAAACCCCAAGAUGGAUCCAUAAGGGUAACCAGAACUGAUGUUGUACAUGCAAAUGUCAAAAGAAAAAUAGAGACCCACAUAAUGAGAAGUAGAUAAAUUUGCACUUGCAAAGCUUUUGGAGUAAAGGAAUUGAUAAAUAAUCACAAUGGAUCCAUAACAUAGAAAGAAAAAUCAUAUAUUGGCAAUUAAUAAGAUCAUAUCUUUUAUCUAAAGGGCAUGACCUCCAACCAAAAAUUAAAAAAGGCAUUGGCUUUUUGCUCCAAGCAGAAACAUGAACAAUAAUAAGAACACCAGCCACGGAAAAAAGACCUCAAAGCAUGUUCAAAGAGAAUGUUGCUGAAAAAGCUCAUUACAAGUGGGUGUUUGGUCUGCAUGCCUAUGUUCAUGACUCAGUAGCCAAAUGCUUAAAGUAGCACUGGAAGUGCCAGAAGUGGAACUUGAAUGGCACAUAAUCCAUGGCCAUUAUUUAUUAAGUUGCAUUUGUCAGUUAGUGCAAAUCAUAGUUAAUACUUAGUUUGUGUCUUUGUUAGCAACCAUUUCAAGCCCUCAUCUUUGAGUAGUUUGCUUCAUAUCAGGGUUCACACAAUUCAGUUACCAAACUAUGGAAAGUUUCUUUACAUGUUAUAAAUCAUAAAUAACUAUAAGAAAACCAAAGGUUACAAUAGAUAAUUUUUUUAUAUUGGUUUCUCAUUUUUCUUUGCCCACCCCUAGCCUUAGGUUUAGUGUUGGUUAGUGUGGAUGAAAAAGGGGCUUACUGGAGUUCAAAACAUUCUAGGGGGCCAAGAUCUAGUCUCUAAACAAGCUCUUGCUGCGUUUAUUCCUUUCAAUUAACCAAAAUGGGUAAAUGAAAGAACCAAGCCAGAAAGCUAGAUGCCUGUUCUCGUUGAAGACCAUUCUAGGGGGCUAAGAUCUAGUCUCUAAACAAGCUCUUGAUGCAUUUAUUCCUUUCAAUUAACCAAAAUGGGUAAAUGAAAGAACCAAGCCAGAAAGCUAGAUGCCUGUUCUCGUUGAAGACCAUUCUAGGGGGCUAAGAUCUAGUCUCUAAACAAGCUCUUGAUGCAUUUAUACCUGAACCUUGCCAUGUUGAAGGUCCCAAAUGAGACUGGUAAGUCGUCCCUGAACCUUGCCAUGCUGAAGAUCCAGAGUAACUAUUUGGCACAUCCUUAGAAGGUUGAGAACUUGACAUACCUAGAUGACUCUUGUGCUUUCUCUUGGAAGAUUCAGAGCCUGACAUCUGACUCUUAUAAGUUGGUUUUGAAGGAGAUCUCCAAUGGUUCUUUUUGGAUUUUGAUUGGGAUGUGUCUUCAGGAUACUCUGAAACCCAGCCACCUCUCUGUUUCGGUUUUUUUGGUGUCCAGGAUAAUUCAGGGUUCUCUGCAAUCCAGUCACCUCUUUGUUUUGAUUUCUUUGGCGUAUGGGAUAAUUCAGGAUCAUCUGUAAUCCAGCCACCUCUUUGUUUUGAUUUUUUUGGUGUUUGUAAAUCUUCAGGAUCUUCAGUGAUCCAGCCACCUCUUUGUUUCGAUUUUUUUGGCGUAUUAAUCCUUUUUUGUUCAGACUUGGUUUUUCUCUUUUUACGAGACUUGCCAAGAUCUGGAGGAGCAGAUUUAAAUCCUGCAGCUUCUUUCUUUUUUCUCUGAGGUUUCAGAACAGGGGUUGAAGAUCCAUGAUUCUUAUCCCCAGCCUGCACAUAAUCAACAACUUAUAACUUCGCCUGUACUUUAUAAAGAACAAUAAAAUGUCCCACAAAGAAAACACUGCAUUUUGAUAACCAAGUGAUAACUUAGUCAGCAUACUGUAAUCCUAAGAACAUGGAAAAU
This 2321-nucleotide long non-coding RNA is filed under the name Jatropha curcas. Its description in RNAcentral is "long non-coding RNA (JCUR_LNC000696)". The record is from RNAcentral. Lineage: Eukaryota; Viridiplantae; Streptophyta; Magnoliopsida; Malpighiales; Euphorbiaceae.